AUUGAACGCUGGCGGCAUGCCUAACACAUGCAAGUCGAGCGAGCGGCGGACGGGUGAGUAAUGUAUGGGGACUGCCCGAUAGAGGGGGAUAACUACUGGAAACGGUAGCUAAUACCGCAUACUAUCGGAUAACCCAUAUGGGAUUAGCUAGUAGUUGAGGUAAUGGCUCACCUAGUCGACGAUCCCUAGCUGUUCUGAGAGGAUGAUCAGCCAAACUGGGACUGAGACACGGCCCAGACUCAGACGGAGGCAGCAGUGGGGAAUAGUGAACAAUGGGCGAAAGCCUGAUGCAGCAAUGCCGCGUGUAUGAAGAAGGCCCUAGGGUUGUAAAGUACUGUAAGUCGGGAGGCGUUACCGACAGAAGAAGCACCGGCUAACUCCGUGCCAGCAGCCGCGGUAAUUC
This 403-nucleotide ribosomal RNA is filed under the name uncultured bacterium. RNAcentral describes it as "partial 16S ribosomal RNA". It matches the Rfam family "Bacterial small subunit ribosomal RNA", at positions 30 to 526 of the family's 1533-position model. The record is from RNAcentral.